This 438-nucleotide ribosomal RNA is filed under the name Triticum aestivum (bread wheat). Its description in RNAcentral is "partial small subunit ribosomal RNA". Lineage: Eukaryota; Viridiplantae; Streptophyta; Magnoliopsida; Poales; Poaceae. The record is from RNAcentral.
GGUGGUGGUGGUGGUGGUGGCCGAAACCGCGGUCCUGCACCCAGAAUCCCAUCCGAGACCUCCGAUGAUGUGGGCGAAGAGCUCUCUCCUUGCCCUGUGGCCUUGUCUCCUCGCGCCGCAUGAAACUGGCCCUGCUGCACUUGCCCCAACGUGUCACAGGACAGAUCUACCUUGACCUGCACCUGAUCCAGGCGCGCUGCUUGCUCCGUGAGCUUCGCAUCCAGCGACGCCAGCUUCGCGCAUAUGUCAUCCACGACCGCCAAUUUGCUCUGGUUUUCACGAAGCACGACGAAUUCCUUGAGCAUCCGCUCCUGGAGCGCCUCCAUCUCGUCCGCCAGAAACCGAGUCUGCGGAUUAGGCUUGAAGGUCGUCGUGGCUGCGAUUUCCCCCAAAUCAACCCACCUCAGGUCCGGAAUUACUCAGGUCAAGCCCGAGAGC